AGCAACUCAAAGAUACGGCUAAGAGUCCAUGCUGUGGUAUCUCUAAUGUGUUCAUUAUUAUCCUUCAUCGCGUCAAGUAGAUGUUUUAAUCCAGCAUGGACCAUGGGAGAUAGCUUCUCGAUGCUUGGACCUUCAAGUAUUGAGCCAAAUGCAUAUAUGGCAGCCUCACGUGAGCGCCAAUCAGGUUUCAUUAUGUUAGCCUCCACAAAAGGCAU
This 215-nucleotide unclassified non-coding RNA is filed under the name Hevea brasiliensis (rubber tree). Lineage: Eukaryota; Viridiplantae; Streptophyta; Magnoliopsida; Malpighiales; Euphorbiaceae. The record is from RNAcentral.